CCACAGCAAUGCUUGAUCCUUAACUCACUGAGGGAAGCCAAGUAUUGAACCCACGUCCUCAUGGAUACUAGUGGGGUUUGUUACCACUGAGCCACAAUGGGAACUCAGAUUAUUUAUUUUAUGCCACGUUGUGCGUUAUCUCUUGAUCCUAUACCCUUAUCGUUCCCCUCUCCCUUCCCCUCUUGCGGUCUGUCUGAGCAUUCGAUUUCUUCUCUCUCCACAGUCCACCGAUGGGUUUAGCAAUUGGCACCAUUCGGCUCCCUGCCCCUUUGGCCCUCAUUUAGAGCCAGGUGUGCUGUUCCAGUGAUCAGAGGGUAUCACAGACCAGGCAGGCAGUUGACAAGAUGGUGUGGGUUACCGGCUGCAGGGCGUGUUGAGCCCUCCUGCCACCUUUCCAAAGACGAAGACGUCUUCCUGAAUGUCUCUGUCCAGCUGGGAUGCCGGCGAAGCUCCUUCCAAGCGGAAUACAUCCGGAGUGAGUCUCCAUGGGGCACUAACAGGAGCGGGAGCGGUGUUCACUGCCUAUCUCUAGGAGCCAUGAACUAAAUGCUGGGGCAGCUCUACACUGGAAUGAAGCUUGUUGAAAGUGAGGUACAUCCAUGUCACAUGUCCAGGAUACAGAGGUAAGUGAAAAGGCAGGUCACACAAGAGCAUGAAUAGACCUAUCCACAUUUUUGUACAAGAAAAGUGAACUGACAGAUGCAGACAGAAGGCGAUGAUAACUCCGUGUUGACUGAGCUGCUAGCAAUGGUGAUCCCACACAGGUGGGGACAGAGGGUGCUUACACUCAAUACACACACACACACAUUUUAAUGAGCAUAUAUAUAUAUAUAUAUUAGUCUAGUAAGCAGAAAAAUACAAGUAAAAACAAAUCAUGAUUAGUAAAGCGUUUCAUAAUUAUUUUUAAAUUUCUGAACGUAAUAAAUGUUGGGUAUACCACUAAUUUAUCCACUCUUAUUCAUACAAUGUAUGAAUUAAAGUGGUAACCAAUAGGUCCACUAUUAUGGAUGAACAGCGUAAUCAGAGUUUUCACUUAGUCAUAACUUCCUUUUCAAACGCUGCUCCUUGCCUCCAGGCAGAGUGUGACAUCCAUGGGUCAACUCACUGGCCAGACAUGUUUCAGAAAAUCACCCAGUGUCCCCUGGCUGCUGUGACACCAGCUACCUGAGCAAACAGAGCAGCUGCAGCAGAAGGCAGCCCUGUGUCACCACCCUAACCAUAUCAGUCCUGCUGAAAAUUCACUGACCUUCAUGUUUCUCCCACAGUCGGAGGUUUACACAAAUAGCCAAGAUGCUCACACAGGGAGAAACAGGAAAUCUCCUCUGCACAGAGAAUACAGGUAAAUGAGAUCAGCUGGAACAUACCUGGAUUUGAGGUGAAUGAAGGUGGACAUGGGCAAGAGACAUCUGUGACAAAUCUCAAGGAUGGAGAAGGGGGGCCAUUCAGCUGCUGCCACCUAUGCCCCAUCCAUGCAGAGGAGGGACAUCGUGGCUGUGCUGCCUGGGCCUCUCCUGCCCUCUGCCUAUACCUCCAGAAUUUCUUCAGGGGCUGGAGGCUGGUCUCACCACCCCUGGUCAAUGAUUAUGAACAGUGAACACAUCAUUAUAAAGAUGAAGAAAACCGUGGCUUUAAGGGACAAGGGGGAGAG
Non-coding RNA from Sus scrofa (pig), 1648 nucleotides. NCBI's taxonomy places the organism in Eukaryota, Metazoa, Chordata, Mammalia, Artiodactyla, Suidae. The record is from RefSeq and is a predicted model, not a curated record.